AAUAGACGUUUGAACUUUCAAUUUUGACUGUCAUAUUUUCUAAACCUUUUCAAAUAGUUCAAAAAAUUUUACUUUUUAAGUAGACGUACUAAUUACACGGUCAUUUUAACAAAUAUUAUAGAGAGAGAGAAAGAGAGUUGAACUGGAAUGCUAUUAGUAAUAAAGGGCUCUGUUGCCACCUAUUUAUUUUCAAUGAUGGAACCUUCAAAUCGACGAUCGGCAUCGUUGAAUAUGUUCUAUACCACUUGAAGUAUGUAGAAAUCAAAUUUAAAAUUUUUUUCGACAUCAUUAGUCUGAUGAUCCAAGGAUUUUAAAACUUGUAAUUUUAAUGGUCAAUAUAAAAUGUUUUCUUGUUUAACGGUAUAAAGAUUUUCAAAUUAAUUGAAUUUUAGUUAGAAAAUUUUUAAAAUUAUUUAGAACAAGAUUUAUACUCUUGACUUUAAUUGCAAGACUCCUAUCAUCACUUUUUAAAGAAUAUUUAUUUUCAAUGUUUAUUUUUGUGUCCAUGUGAUGGAUAAGAGAACAAUAUCAAAAAAUUAUUAAAUUUGGUUUCUAAAUGCUUGCACGUAGUAUAAAUCAUAUUCAACGGUGCUGAUCGUUCAUUUGGGGGCUCUAUCAUCGAAAACAAAUAAGUAGCAACGGAGCUCGUUUGCUUCUGAUAGCAUUCCAACUUAGCGCACUCUCUCUCUCUCUCUCUCUCUCUCUCUCUCUCUCUCUCUAUAUAUAUAUAUAUAUAUAUAAUUCUAUAAAACUUUAAAAUAUUUUAAAAACCUUUUUUGAUAAUUGAGCAUUACUAUAGUGUCUCUGGAGCUUAACUGUCUGACUGACUACAGCAUCAGUGGCUUGUCGACACAUCUGUAAAAUGUCAGAACUAGUCAGAAUCGUUUUGGCGUAAAAUAUACACGAAAACGGACUCAGAGUUGUGAAAGUUGGAGUUUGGAUACUGAAAUAUGCAAAAAUAUGAUUUUGAAUAUUGUGUACCAGUACCUGAGAGAGG
Molecule: long non-coding RNA, 997 nt
Filed under: Ananas comosus (pineapple)
Lineage: Eukaryota; Viridiplantae; Streptophyta; Magnoliopsida; Poales; Bromeliaceae
Description: long non-coding RNA (ACOM_LNC010758)
Source: RNAcentral